GACCGCGUAGCUCAGUUGGCAGAGCAUUGGGCUAGUAUUCCAAAGGUCGUAGGUUCGAUUCCUACCGUAGCCA
RNAcentral lists this transfer RNA (73 nucleotides) under Paramuricea clavata. It matches the Rfam family "tRNA". From Rfam's summary of the family: Transfer RNA (tRNA) molecules are approximately 80 nucleotides in length. Their secondary structure includes four short double-helical elements and three loops (D, anti-codon, and T loops). Lineage: Eukaryota; Metazoa; Cnidaria; Anthozoa; Malacalcyonacea; Plexauridae. The record is from Rfam by way of RNAcentral.